This 35306-nucleotide long non-coding RNA is filed under the name Xyrichtys novacula (pearly razorfish). The record is from RNAcentral. Lineage: Eukaryota; Metazoa; Chordata; Actinopteri; Labriformes; Labridae.
GUUGGAGUUCGGAAGACGGACUCAAAGCCAGGCACAACUUGACAAAACAAUUGCUCGGUAAGUUUAAUCGUUUAUUUGGAGUUUACUUUUUGUUAGCAACAUCAAGCUAUACUAUUUGUUCCAAGAGUUCAAGGGUAAAAUUUUGGUGUUAGUGUCAAGGUUUGUUUUGGAACAUAAUGGAUCGUAUUGCUUCGAUGAUUAGAUUCAGUGAUGUGGAUGCAAAUCAAAUUUAACGGUUGUUUUAAUCAAGCAGUGUUUUAUCCAGCAUCAGUACAGAGCUGAAAUGACGGCUCGAGGGGAACUCAAUCAGUCUGCAUUUAUGUGAUAGCAGUGUCGGCUGGUGAGAAAAAUAAUAGGUGGGGCUGAAGUUUUGGAUACCAGAGCCCUGUAGGGGGGUCCGGGGGUAUCUUCCCCCGGGAGAUUUUUUUCGUUAUCAAAAGGUAGAUGUAACAGUCUGGUGCUUUCUAAGAAAAUGAUUAAGGAAACAUACGAUGUUGACCUACAAAGACAAAUGUGGUGGGGAUACUGUAUUCCAACUUAUUAACAGGGUAUUAUAGCUGAAACACAGCCUACCUAGAUUCAAUGUUAUGCUAUGAUAUAGAAACUGACAGUAGCAUACUCUUACUCGUGUACAUCCACCUGCAUCUCAACAGGUUAGGCUACAGCAAAGGAGCAUGCAAAGACAACUGCAGAAAAAUAGUAAGGAGCAGACCCACAUUUAUAACGAAUCAGGCUGCAUAUCAAAGUAAUCAGCCAAGAAAAACAACACAAACAUUUGCUUUAAAUACAGAACAGUUUUAUUACAUUUGAUAUUUCAGUUGAACUGAAUUGAAACUGGGUGAACAAAUACAGGGUUCCCACUCUUUUAUAGAAAUCAUUCUCCAGGAUUUUUCAGGACGUUUUCAUGCCGCCUUAAAAUUUAUUGAUUUCUAACAUUGUGGCAUGAGCAUUGUCUAUAAGCUAUCUUUUUAGUCUGGCUUUUAUGUAAUGUCUCACUAUAAAAAAUUUAUAUUAAGUUUUAAUCUACUCUACUUUUCUACAAACAGAUUUUGCUGAUUGCCUCUUUCACUAGCAAACUAGAAAUUUUAUUUUGCCAGCUUUAUAACAUAUAUACAUAUACAUAUAUAUAUAUAUAUAUAUAUAUAUAUAUAUAUAUAUAUAUAUAUAUAUAUGUAUAUAUUUACAGUACAGUCCAAAAGUUUGGACACACCUUCUCAUUCAACGCAUUUUCUUUAUUCUUAUUACUAUUUUAAUUGUAGAUUCUCAGUGAAGGCAUCAAAACUAUGAAUGAACACAUGUGGAAUCAUGUGCGUAAGAAAAAAAGUGUGAAAUAACUGAAAACAUGUUUUAUAUUUUAGAUUCCUCAGAAUAGAGACCCUUUGCUCUUUUGAUAGCGCUGCAAACUUUUGCUGUUCUCUCAAUGAGCUUCAUGAGGUUGUCAUUAAAUAGUUUUUACUUCACAGGUGUGCCUUGUCCAGGUUACUUCAUGACUAACAGAGUCAGUCACUAAGUACUUCUGUCCUCAAGAGCAAAGGGUGGCUAAUUAUAAAGAAACUAGCAUAUAAAACAUGUUUUCAGUUAUUUCACACUUUUUUAUCAGUACAAAAUUCCACAUGUGUUCAUUCAUAGUUUUGAUGCCUUCAGUGAUAUUCUACAAUGUAAAUAGUCAUAUAAAAAAAUGAAGAAAAGACAUUGAAUGAGAAGGUGUGUCCAAACUUUUGGCCUGUACUGUAUAUAUAUAUAUAUAUAUAUAUAUAUAUAUAUAUAUAUAUAUCCCUUGUGUAACCAUUAGAUUUACAUCAGUUGUUUACGCUCAGUGGCUUUUUUUAGCAACUGAGCCACUUAGACAUUGACUGCUGUAAAAACAUAUUGGAUUCAUAUUUUUUCAGUUUUUUUUUUUGACAUAUCUCUAAAUUAACUUCUGCUCUAUUCAAAACUAGUAAAUGUUUCAUUAAGAAUCAAAAUUUUAACCCUUUAAGGGCCAAUUUAAAACAUAAAGUCAAAAAUAUUUUUAUAUAGUUUUAUAAGAAAACAUAAUCAGAAACUGGAUAUCUCUAGCAGGGUAUUAUAGUCUUAAAUAUGUAAAGGAUUAGUAAUAUCAUUGACUUUGAUGCCUUUUAAGUUUUUUUUGUAGGAUCAGAUUUCCAAAAAACAUCCUUUGUUAACGCUCAGUGGCAAAAAAAGCCACUGACAUUGACUGCUGUAAAAACAUAUUUGAUUCAUAUUUUUUCCAGAUUUUUUUUCACACAUAUCUCAAUUAACUUCUGCCCUGAUCGAAAAUAGUACAUUUUUUAUCUAAAAACAUUUUUUUAAGCCUUUGAGAGUCCAUUCAAAACAUAACGCCACUGAUAUGGUACAAAAAUACACAAAAAAUACCAAUUUUAUUAUCAGAAAUAGGCAAUUUUUAAUGUGUUGCAUAAUCUUGGCCUUGUUAAGGAUAAGGAACCUCAGAAACCUUGAUACAUUUUUGUGUAACAUCUGACUGUCAUAAAAAAAAUUACACUUACACUAUUCAUGUCUUUUAUACACUUGCAUUUUCUUUGCGUACCAGCAGGUGGAAGUAAUGAAAAAAUGUAACCAAUAUUAACAGUAGAACCAAACCAUAUUUUAUCGCUCAAAAUGCAAUAAAACAAAAGCCUCAAAUAUACACCAACAGAGUAUGAAACCAGAACAAACGACUAACUUUUGAGGGUGAAGCGGUGGAAAGGAUUGAAAGAAACCUGGGAAGCCUAAGAGAGUGAAUGUGUGAGAAAUCGAGUGAGCAAAGAGAGAUAAAAUGUAAGUGUGUGUGUGUGUGUGUGUGUGUGUGUGUGUGUGUGUGUGUGUGUGUGUGUGUGUGUGUGUGUGUGUGUGUUCAAUGUUUGAAGCAAGACCGGCAGGAGAUCUCUCUGUGUUCAUGCCAGAUGUGUUUCCAAACAGGCCAGACAAAAUCGGAAGCCCCAAAAAAUGUGUAUUUGCGUGCGUGUGUGCAUGCGUGCAUGUGCAUGUGCAUGUGAGAGAGAGAGGGGAGGAGCCUGCAUGUCAUGACCCAGCACUGACCUGGCCACAAAAGUAAACUAUGUUCUUCAGCUCUCAGAAGUACAGAGAGGUCGAAAAAAAUGAACAAAAACAAAAGUGAGCUGUUAUGUCUGGAGGUGUUUAUAAACCUGCUAUCUGGCCUUUUGAUCACUGGGGGCCCCAACCCUGGCUCCACCCCUGCAAUCCACAACUUGCAGAUUGUAAUGACCAUUUUCUCAUGAGAAGAGCAAGAGAAGCAUGAAGAGAAGCUUCAGCACCACGGAGGCCCUUGCAAUGGUCAUUGAUUCUGAUGGGAUGGAAUCUGACCCCCCACAGGAUCCAUCAUCAUUGUCUGGCCUGUUUUGUUCGAGGGGUGAAUCUACUGCCUGGCUGUGGGAUGUGGAUCUCUCCUGGAACCGUAGAAAGUGAUUCAGGAGGAGGCUUUUCCUGGAGGACCUUGGAACGGCUUUGGUGUUAAAAAGAACUAACAAAACCUUUGAGUUCUGUGUGAAACACAUCUGGCAUGAACACAGAGUGAUCUCCUGCAGGUCUUGCUUCAAACACUGAACACACACACACACACACACACACACACACACACACACACACACAGAGCUGAGUUCUGCCUCAGCACAUUACGACCAAGCUGGUACCGAAAGAGAAUGUGAGUAUAGAAAAGACAUGAAUAGUGCAAGUGUUUUUAUGAGUGUUUUAUGAAAGUUUCUAUGAAAAUUAGACAUUACACAAAAUGCAUCAUAGUUUCUGAGGUUCCUAAUCCUUCACGAGGCCAAGACUAUGCAACAUGUGAAAAAUCACCGGUUCCGGAUUAUGUUUUAUGGUGAAAAUAGGUCAUUUUUGUGUAUUUUUCUACCAUAUCAGUGACAUUAUGCUUUGAAUGGACCCUCAAAGGGUUAAAAAAUGUUUUUAGAUGAAACAUUUACUAGUUUUGAUCAAAGCAGAAGUUAAUUAAGAGAUAUAUGAAAAAAAAUGGAAAAAAACAUUAACCCAAUAUGUUUUUACAGCAGUCAAAGGAAGUGGCUUUCUUUAGCCACUGAGCGUUAACAAAGGAUAGAAAAAAAAUUGCCCAGCCCGUAUUUUUGACCUGGUGAAAAUUUUGAAGUCAUAUUUUCAAAGUGUCCAUCAAUAUAGGCAUCUGCACAAAAAUCAUCCCAUUUGCUGCAGUAAAAAAAAAGUUACAUGGAAAUUAGUGGCUAAAUUUUGCCCCAAGUGGCUUUUUUUAGCCACACCGUUACAUAAGGGAUAUAUAUCCCUUAUGUAACGGUGUGGCUAAAAAAAGCAUUUACACACACACACAUAUAUAUAUAUAUAUAUAUAUAUAUAUAUGUAUAAUGUUUCUAUUUGCGACAGAGGCUGAGAUAUCAGUUUUUUUGUAAACCUCAACAGUUAAGAAAACCUCAGGACCUGGGGGCCCGUCUAGGGUUCCCAACCGUACCGUAAAAAACGGGAUCGUACCAUAUUUGAAAACAAAAAGACAUGUCCCGUACUGAAUUAAAAUGGGAUACUCCUUUUCCCGAAUUUUCUGACAGCGUCUCUCUGCCUAACACACUGUCACAGGCUCACAUCAGCAGCUUGGCAGCUGAGCUAUGGGACAAGUUACAAAACACAGCAGACUACCAGCUAUGGGUUGUUAACAAGAGCGUGUUACGCGUUAUACUACACUAUGCUGCAGCGAGGCUUUCAGUUUUACACAGCUCUGGACACAAGUACUUAGUAAAACAAAGAGGGGUGUGUGAUUAUGUCCUCUCUGGUUCCAUAGGCAGUUUUAGGAUUUGCCAACAGGGGGUGCAACUUGCCAGAGAAGUAAGUCUUUUCUUUUGGUUUGUUUUUUGCAAGGCCAAACCUGGAAGACUCAUGUUUACCGAUUUACAAUAGGAUGUGAUGUUUUAGUUUGUAAUAUUUUAAGGAGGUUAUAUAAUUAAGGUUAACUGUAAUAAAGUGUUUGCACUUUGACUUCUUGAAUAAGUCAAACAUUGUUUCAAAAUGGUGACAUUGCACUAUAUGUUCCAUGAAGAAUUAUUAUUAUUUUGCACACAAUAAAUUCUUCAAUGAUACAUUAACUGCGUUUCCAUUACCCAUAGAUUUGCGCAAAACCUAAAUAUAGCAAUAGAAAACUGGUAAUGGAAACACCUAAAUUUCAGAAAAACCUCUCAAAUAUCGCUAAAAGGUUUUUACGCUCUCAUGAGGUGGUUUUUCAGACGUGUCGAUAUAUAAGUAUAUUGCAAAAGUGUAAUGGAAACACUAUUCUUGCAAUUCUCUGUCACCGGACGUGACGUAGCGGGUCAAGUGACCAGUUCAUUUCAAGCGAAAUGUGUGUAUGGACGGGGGAGGAGACGGAGUUAUUUCUGAGGUUUUGAAUUGUAUUUGUAUUUUUCUGAAGUUUUGAAUCCACAAUUCGUCCAUGAAUUCCUCAUUAACAAUCCUCCCCCAGAAAUCCCUCAUCCGUGUCCGCUCCCAUACAUACGGGUUUGAAUACGGAAGUGAGCAGAAUGACCGAACAUGGAGCUAAACGCAGAGCUGAGGGCAGCAAAACAGUUGUCAGCUGUGACUUUGGGUCAUCCUCAGAAGAUGUUAUAGUUGAGGAGUUAUUCAACGUCUCUCCAAAGUGACGUCGAGCAAUUAAGCCGAUAAACUGGCAACAUAACAAAUCUUUUCUCCUCGAGUGAUUAUGCGGGAAGCAUGAAAAUGCGAGCGGAGUCUGUACAGCCUGUCACUGCUGACGGUACGAGUAGCAUUAGCAGUUUAGACACAACUAGCGGUGCAGCCACCAGACCAAAGCAGCAAUCAGUCAUAUCCAUACCUGCCAACACUCCCAUUUUCCCCGGGACUCUCCCCUAUUUCAGACGUAGGCCUGUCACGAUAACAAAUUUUGCUGGACGAUAAUUGUGCUACAAAUUAUCGCCGAUAAACGAUAUUAUUGACACCGUUUUUUAAAUUAUACAUAAUGAUAUUAUAUGGCAUAAUAAUGCGAGUACACCUUGUCAAAAGUGAUAAACUUUAAUUUCCACUGUCUGUCAGCGCGCACCAUUUUGCGCUGUUUUGUUUAUAUUUGCUUUGCUUACCAAACGCUUCAGUAAGCGGUACCUGUCGGGACGAUGGCUCCGCAGCACCUCCGGUGGUACUUUUUUUGCUCAGUUGAGAAAAAUGGAGGGGAUGAUUGUGCUUGAGGUGCACAUGCAUGUUCGUCGUAUUCCCCUUCUUUGUCACCACAACUUUGGAACAAAUACGACAUAUCGGCUCGUCUGUAUAUGUGGGGUCACCUCUUUCAUUUGGUUUAAAGCAGUGUUGUUUUCGUCAUAUUUCGUCAAAUAUUUUCGUCAACGCCAGCGUCAAAAAAGGUAAAUAAUUUCAUCAACGAGAACAACACUGGUUGUUUUCGUUGACUAAAAUAUUUCCCUUUCUUCCACGACGAAGACGCAACGUUGACGAGCUAAACAUAAGUCGGAGAUGACUAAAAUGUGACGAGACGAAAGUGCGUUUACGUUGAUGGGACGAGACGAAAAUGACAAACAGACUUGCAAAACUCAGUCAGUUAAACGCUCAACAUACAGGAGCAGCUUCAGUCCGCUCUGACAGCUCUCAUCAGCCUGCUGUGCUCCUCCAACACACAGACACACACGCGCGCACACACACACACACACACACACACACACGAGUUUUGUGGUUGACGAAAACAAAACUGGUUUAAAGCCGAAAUAUUCCCACACUUGGGCUGUUGCGUUCGGUUUAGACACCAAAGCUGUCGUGUUCAUUCUGUUUGCUUGCUUUUCACUCACGACGCUCACUUGCAGCACUGUAUCCAAAAGUCUGUGUCUGUGUGCCUGACUGUGCGCGCCAGCCCCCUCGUGACAAAGACACUGAAUGACUGACAGGAGGGUUCACUAACUCCGUUCAUUCCGCUAUAGAGCCAACGCCCCCAGGUGCCGAGAACAAUGCACAGAGUGAGACCUCUUCUCUCAUCCAGCGUGUUUGGUAGCGAGAGAGGAGGAAAACAAACGCACGUCAAUUAUCGAGGCUGGCAAAAUGACCGACCUCGUUUUUAUUUACCGAGCGAUAAGGCGAUUUAUUGAUUAUCGCGACAGGCCUAUUCAGACGUAUCUCCCGCCCACUCCCGGUAUUAUCAUUUCUCCCGGGAAUUUCUCGUAGCAUGGUCCGCAUUCAUUCAUGAAUCAGAUCACUAUAUUUGCUCAAAGUUUCCAGACAACCGGAGAUUGUCCUUUGUUUCUGCUGAGCCUUACAGACAGUGGAUUGACACUUUUACUUUACAGUUUGGGACGAUUCAGGUCGGUUUCAGCUGUAAACUACAGGGCUCUCAAGUCUCACGCAUUCAGCGUGUGACACACGCAUUCCCACCUGUUCACACGCUCACACUCCACACAUCGUAUUUCUCACGCAUUUAAAUGAACAUGGUGAUGUCCACCACGUUGCCCCUCUUUAACAAUGGAACAGGUAGAAAUCAACUGAGUUUCUCCGAGAGUUCAGAAGCUGCGUGCCAGGCGCAAGCCAAUCAAAUAAAGUAUAUCUACUGAACAGCCAAUCAAAAAGCAGCAUGUCUGUAUCCGGGUAGAAAUAGAGCAGGUUUUUAAAAGGACGAGAUAGACCCGAUGAUUACAGUAAGUCAGUAACCUACACAUGCAGAGACCUCAACACCUCAUGGCAUAUAAACUCAUAUAAUAAACUAAAACCCUAUGCUAUUGCUAUUGACAGCUGUAUUGAUGAAUUUAGCCUCUGUACAGCCAUUUCCAGCCAUUUUCCCCUCCACAAAAGCAGCAUUUCUCAUAUAUUUUUUUUAAAGUUCUGAUACUCAUGACAGUGUAACGCUCAUGUACCAAAGGAUUAAGUAUCUCCAUGUUUGUGAAACCUAUACUAAAGUACAAUUCAUCUAAAUGCUCCACAGUGCUGAUUUUAACAACUCUCCUCCACACCACAGGUAACUUUACGACUUAAUUCUUAUAAAUUAAUGACUUUUAUUCUCCUAAAUAAUAACUUUGUUGUCUAAAAUUUUAAUUUUUUUUUUCUUAAUGUGGCCCUCACACUCUGUUGUAUUUAAGAGAUUAUUAUACUAAUAAUUAUCAUCAAUCACUCUACACCCCCCCAAAGAAAUCUCACUCUAAGCUUAGUUCAAAACUUGAGAGCCCUGAAACUAUAUUAAAGAAGUGUUUAUUGGAAAAUGAACACUUCAAUGAAAAGAAACAAACGCGAGCUAUGCGAGAGUGAUGCGUUCAGGGCAGCCUCGGAUAAAAGAGUGCUGUAUUUCAUGCACAGAUGUUAAGAGAGCCUCAUACGGGAGAGCAUGUAGAACAUGUAGCACUGUUGAGUUAAAAUGUUUUUUAGAUUUUUCUAAGUGUAUCUUAUUCAGUUUGCUUUGUUAUUUACUUUAUAUGUUAAUAAAAUGUUGAACUAAUCUCUAGUUUUUUUAGUUUUUAGUACAGAUACUUUAAAACUGGCGCUUUAAAAAAAAAUCGUGAUAUUAAUCGAGAUCGGACGAUAUGACAAAAUAAGUCGUGAUCAUGUUUUUUGCCAAAUCGCCCAGGCCUAAUCCAGACUCUAAACAUCUGAAUCCACCCUAUUAUCAGACUUUGGCUCACCACCCCUAUCGGAGUUUCGACCGAAAUGACCUGUUUGCAGUGUGUCAAGUGGACCCAGGCUGAUCUUUCUGCUAUCUUAACAGCAGUGGGGGUUGUCAACAGUACCUGGUAUGGACCUUCCCACUUAGGUGAAUGCCAAUGCUUUCUUUUAACACUUCUUAUUAGCACCCAGUCUCCAGGCUUCAGUGGCUGAGUCUCCUGUUGAGAAUCAGCGGGAUGAUUGUCAGUAUACUGGUUUUUGUUUUUCUAAUAUCUUUCUCAUAUAGUCUGCAAGUGUGCUGUCGUCAUCUGUUUCCCAUUGGUUCUUAAACUGGGCCAGCCUGUAUGUUCUGCCAAAUAAGGUCUCAUAAGGAGUCAAUCCACUAGUGCUUGUUAUAUUGAUGUAAAGUUCUACGAGAUCAAGACACUGUGUCCAUGGUCUGUUUCUUUCUUCCAUACAUUUUUUUAGUCUAUUUUUUAAAGUUCCAUUCAUUCGUUCUACUAAGCCUGCACUUUGAGGGUGAUAUGCACAAUGAUGUUUAAGGUUUAUGGAACAUUUGUCCUAUUUUUUUAAGGAUUUGGUUCGCAAAAUGAGUGCCAUUGUCGCUACGAAUUAUUUCUGGGAUACCAUACUGAGGUAUGAUGUCUUUACAAAGUGCUUUAGCGACUGUCAAUGCAUCUGGUGUUUUAGUCGGGAAAAGCUCUACCCAUUUGGAAAAUGCAUCUGUUAUCACAAGACAGUAUCUUUUUCCUUCACUUGGGCUCAGUUCGAUAAAGUCCAUGUGUAUGACCUGGAAGGGAUAUUUUGGUUCAGGGAAACAACGUGUUUUCAUUCUGAGAUUUCCCUGAGGAUUGUGUUUGGCGCAUGUUAAACCUGCUCUGCAAAAAAUUUUUGAAUAAGAGUUAAAUCCAUAAGUAGGAAAAUGUUGUUGUAUCUGUCCUACCAUCCUUCCUGUUGAGACAUGUGUGGGACCAUCGCUCAAUAUUGCUCCCCAUUUAAAAAGAUUCUUUGGAAGGAUAGGUUUCCCUUCAGGUCAUAUAUAGAUGCCAUUUUGCAAAUGUGCGUCUUGUUUAGCCCAGAGUUCAAUUUCAGUUUUUGGGCUCUGUUGUUGCAUUGUUUUAAGAACGUCACCAGAAAGUGCGUCAGUAUACUCCAAGGUGCAGACUGAGAUCUCUCCCUCAGCUGGAGCCUUGGCUGUUUUAUCUGCAAAUGCGUUUACCAGCGAGACGGGGUCUGUUCCGGAAGUGUGGGCGGCACAUUUGCAAAUAGCUAACCUUUGUGGCAGAUGUACAGCAGCAUUUACUCUAGGUCAGGAAGUUGCAUUGUUCACGAUUUUGUCAUAGAGCUAUGGAAGCAGAAAGAGGGUUGGUGGCUCUCUCAUUUCUUUAAAAAAAAGACCUUUUCAACUGCUGAAAUGGCGUUGCCACUUUUGGAUGUCAUGUGGUAUGUGGUAUUUCCACAAAUAUGUAUUUUAAUUAUAAAUUUCAUAGUGACCUUUUAUGGGAAGCUAGUGGGCUUUGUUUAUUUGGCUAAUCCUGUAUCAAUAAGAUUUGACUGAACUUGAAAAUGUCAUGCAGUGCGACCAAUUAUCAUGUGGUGCGACCACUGCAGAUUGUUUUCCAUCAUAAAUAUAUGCCCUAGAUUGGCAGUAUUUACGCUUUUUAUAUUCAAUUGAUGAAUGAUAAACACAAAGAACUUAAUUUUUAGUAUUAUUUUGAAUUUUUUUUGUUAUUUGAUGUCAUUUUGCUAAUAUUUCAGAAAUAAUGGUUAGUUCAUCUUUGUACAAAAUAAGAAAAAAACUAUGCCAUUUCACUUACGGUAUUUAUGCCGUUGUUAGCAAUUUAUUUACUUUCAUGUAUCUAUUUAAGUCAUUUUAAUUAAGUUUACCAGAUGCCACUGUCGAGCUAAGUUAAAAGUGCUCGCAAUAGGCAGCGUGUCAACUCUGACCCUGAAGCAUGUUGUUCAUGCAAGGACUGGUCAACGAUUGGGCCAAGAUUGGGCAAAGUUUAAAAACGCCUGAGGCCUGUACUACAAAGCUGGAUUUGAUCGUAGCGAGAUAACUUCUUGAAUAAUUCCUGGGUUUACCGCACGAUGAAGGUGGAUUUCUUUCUAUCCAGGUCUGUUGCCCCAGUAACUUACGCGGAACAUCAAACCUGCUCCGGAGAAGGUUAUGUUUCAGGAUAAGAUCUCAGCAGGUAUAAAAGACCGCCCACUGACCAAUCAGAUCUCUUAGAAAAUGGCUUGCCCACUUUUGCCGGAUCCCGGGGACAUCGUUGCACGGAUAGUGAGAGGAGCGCUUCGCCGAGAACGAUAUAUUCAAGAUCGUUCAAAUCUGUUUGAUUUACCUGAUGACGUUCUCUAUGAAUGUUACAGGUUUUCCUCGGACGGCCUCAAUAGGUAGCAUGAAGUCUAAGCAAUGCACUAACAUUUGCCAAGCUCCAAGUUCCAAUUUCAUGCAGCAUAUCAGUCAUACUUCAUAUUAAUCUCGUUUCAUAUUUUCUAUAUUUUUAUCUAUCUUUUUUCCAAUGUCUUGCACUGAUAUGGGUGGCUUUAAUUUCAUUGUACUGCUUAUAAUGACAAUAAAAGGCAUUCUGAUUCUGAUCAUUCAGAAUUUAUUGAAGCAGAUUAGAAAACUCCUCUUAACCCCAAAUGUGUCUACAGAUGACAUGUGACCAUUCGAUGAUGGAGAAAAAAGAAAAAAAGGCAGUGUGAGGAAAUCACUGUUUACGUGUUGAAAUGUGUACAAAUUAAAUCUUCCAGUAAACCAGCUAACCACUUUGACGGAUGUUUUUAGAUUUAUUUUUAUUUGCUCCCACGUACUCUUUUCCCCACUACUGUUGUAUCUGAAAUAAUGAGGUCAACAGGAGGUUAUCACACACGCUGCAUGACAACAUAUAAGGGGGCCAUAAAUUUAUGAACAUACAAAUGUAAUUGACACAAUCGAUGAUUUUUUUGCCAGCAGUCCCUGCGGCUUUUAGCAGCUGCGGCUGUCCUGCUCCUCACUGUUAUAGUGUUGCAGUACUCCUCGUAUUUGUGUAAAAUAAUGCUCUGUUCCUCGGCUGUGAAAUAUGACGUGCAGCCUUCUCCAUUGUUGAGAGUGGUCCGGUGGCACUGACCCCGCCCCCUUUACGUGUGCGCGCACAGAUCUAGACUGACCAUAACUGAAUUUAGUUAGCUAGUUGAUAUCCUGCCUCGUAGUACAGCAGAUCGGGAUUACGGAGAUCUGGUGAAAUUGAUCGAGUUGUCGCAGAGUUAUCCUGGUUGCGUUAAUCCAGCUUCGUAGUGCAGGCCUCUGGACCACGGACACAAACACACACAGAGUUAAUUUUAUGUCAAAAAGGGAAAUAAAAUGUUUGUGUUCAUGUUCGAAAUGUUAAUAAAAUUUGGUUUGAAUAUAAAAUUUGCAUGAAAUUAAUUGUUCAUAGGUCUCUUUAAAUUGAUUUUUAAUGAUACAAGGUCUUCAAGUCAUUUGGCGCGACCACCAAUCAUGUGGUGCAACCAAUAAUAACAUUUCUACUAGGCCUGCACGAUAUAUCAUUUCAGCAUCGUCAUCGCGAUGUACGUGUGUGCGAUAGUCACAUUGCAGAGCCUGCGAUGUCGGAGGUGAAUGAACUCAGUUAAUUUCCAUGGUAGCCGACUGAGACACACUGCAUGUGACUCUGCAUGUGCUGUGCAGCGAUCCACCAUUCACCUUCUUUCUUUACUCAGUUGCCAAUCAGACUCAGUUCUCAGUUGCCAAUCAGACUAACCUGCCAGCUGUCAAUCAAAAUCAGAGAGGAGGAAACCCACCCCUGCACAUGUUCUGCACAUGGAGUGAGACGCCUGUCCGCUGAGAAUUACUUUCAGAACAUUCUUCAUCACUGUUUAGCCCAACAAAUAAGUAUGGGUUUUAAAUUGUACAUUUCCGUGGACCACUCUACUAUAAGCAGUGCGCGUUUUGUGAGGUGCAUGCAAUUCUCGGAGGACAUGGGUUUCUCGGCACAACCCCGUUGACAACAAAAACAACGAUCGCAAACUGAGCAACAAACAGAGAAAACCACAGAAGAUGAAGAUUUGUUGCCAAAAAGAAAAGGAAAGUCAGUUAUCUUGAAUUAUUUCGGUUACAAGAUGGAUAAUGUCGACCAAAACACGUUCUGUGUUCAUCUGUUGCCACAAUAACGUCUGGCGGAGCCUGGUGUACAGCCAGUUUGGUAUUUUCGUGGACUGAGGCGCACCAAGGUCCGCCAAGCUGGGCGUGGUGGCGUGGCACGGGGAGGUGUCGACAGAAUCAGCUGGCGCUAGUGGUGCAACGGAUCAUCAUUGAUCCGUGAUCCGUUCGGAUCGACGUCAUCGGUUCGGCACACACGUUACCCGCGGUUCGAUUUCUGAAAAAAAAAUUGGCUUCCCUGUCAACUAUGAUGAGGAAGGAAAGAGGUCAGUGGACAAAACUGCGAAGGUGUGUAGGCACUGUGGCAUAAGAAAGCCAUAUGACAGUGGAAACACAUCGAGCAUGUUCACGCAUUUGAAAGCGACAUCACCCGGGUGUUUUAAUGACAGGUGUUGUGCCGUAGACUGCACCCCUGCCGUAGAACGCACCCCUGCAGUAGAACGCACCCCUGCAUCCCCUCCACUCGUUAGCUUCUUAAAGUGGAGAUAAUGAUCUCAUAUUUAAAGAAACACGAGUAUUAGAUCAUGACAACAUGUCAAAUGGAGCAGCAAACUUUCAUUUUCUUUUUAUGUGUCUCAAAAAUGCAAAUAUAGAGGUGUACUUGGGUAUAAACUGUACAGAAAGCUGUCCAGGUAGAGAGCAUUAUAUUUUCGGGACAGCAAUAUUCCAAGGGCUGUUGUUUUUGGCUUCUUUGAAUAGCCUGAAUGAAAUUAUUACAGGCAAACGCUUUUGAAUCCAUCCAAUGUAAGAAAAACUUGGAUUAUUUCGCCUCGUUAUGUACUUUAAACCGCGCUCCCGUCAGGGGGUGCAUUCUACGGCAGGGGUGCAUUCUAUGUCACAACACCUGAGAUAAAACGAAAGCUGGCCAGCAACCACUCAUCACCGCAGCAUUUAAGCAGCCUCUUCCUGCGGAAUCCGACCGGGUUAAAGCUAUCACAAACGCUAUCGGUGUGUUUAUAGCUACAGACAUGAGGCCAUAUUCAGUUGUGCAAACGAGGGCUUUAAAAACAUGCUGAAAGUGCUUGAGCCACGUUACAAUAUCCCACCGCGCACAUACUUCAUUUUUGGUUCAUUGUUACAUUUUAAAGGAAGGAGAUAUGCCUAUAUAUUGCACUUUAAGUUGUUUUUCAUUAAUAAUUAUGUUGAAAAGAAGAUAUUAUGCCGUAUGCACUACUUUUAUAUAUUUUAAUUCAACCAUUUAAGUGUUUAAUAUACAGACAAAACUUAUGUUUAUUUGUCUUGUUUUUUUUUUUGUUUUGUUUUUUUGCUUUUUGCUGAUCCGAAAAAUGAUCCGAUCCGUGACUCUUGAUCCGAGGAACGAUCCGAUCCGUGAGUGUUGUGAUCCGUUGCACCACUAGCUGGCGCAGUGACAUUUUCGUGCUCGCCUCCGGCGUGUAAAGUGCGCCGAAAUCUCGCCGUAUCAAACCUGGUCAGCUUUCAGCGCAGGCGGAGCGCAGCUAGUCUAGUGGUAUUUUGGUAGACUGGCAGCGUAUCGGCAUACGUCACCAAUGCCUCACUGGCAGGUUUCCACAGUGUCAGGCACAUUUCAGUGCAAUAGAUAAACAACAACAACAAAAAAUCUGAGUCAGCACAUACAUUUAGAUCUAUAUAUUCUGAUCUAUAUCUGAUCUGAAGAGCGCCUUUGGCACGCUUUUAGACACUCAACCUAACCAGAUUAACACAGUUGAAACAGCAUUUAAUUAAAUUGAAAUAAAUAUCUAGUAAACACACAUGAUGAAGUUAACAUGAUAUGUAAUUCGUCUCCCCCCUUUUCUUUCUUCCUCGUCCUCUCAUUUCUCACGCAGUUCGACCUGGACAUGUCUCCAUGUCCUCUCCCCGUCCUGCUGCAGCUGCUGAACAGAUGAUUUGUUUCAGUGAUCAGAUGAGUUAUUUACUUUAAGCCUACAUAUUAAUAUUAUAAUAGUCAGUUUUGUGAGCCCAAUUUAUUUUAUAUGCCAACAUCAAUGAAAAAAAGAGACAGGCCACGGAGCGCAAUGCGUCAUUUACGUACAGAUGGUUCAGAUUUUAAUGCCAUCAUUGGAAUUUAUGUUGUGAUCUGUGCGUACAACCCACCUUUGUCACGUAAGGUUUAAAUAUAUGCAACUUUAUGUGAGCGUCUUUAUUUGUGGAAAAGGGUGUUUGUCUUACCAGUGGGUACAACCUUACACACACCAAAUCCAUCCGUGCUUAUAUGAGACAGUGUGCAGGACACCCUCUGCAGCUCUUACAGCGACACUUAUUGAGGGGCUGCCUUCUGUUGCCAUCAUGUGGCAUUGCUGUCUUCACACAUCUCUUUUUGUCUUUGACUACUUCACGAAAAUUGUAAUACGCCUCGCCCUUGGCGGAUUUAAAGGCGAGGAGAGGAGCUUAUGUUAUUGGUCAAAACAGGUCUCGGCUGUGUUAAACCCACUCCACGCCCUCUCCCCUCCCUCCCUACCUACCUCUUACUCCGCUGGGAGGAGCUAAGUUAGGGAGGGGGACACUUGCGCCGUGCUGCUACACUCACCAAAAUACCAAAUUGUGCUUGGGAACGCCUUGUCGGCGCGGCGGACCUGACUUACACCGCGUCUGCGCCAUGUUGCCUUAUUUAUCAACCGUGCAUAGAAAAGGUCCUAAAUUCUGAUGUGGGAAUGAAAUUUAGAAUGUGCAUAAGUACAAAAAAAUCUGUAUUUAUCAAACAUUCGGACACCGGUCGUACGCACACAUGUAAGUAAUCGGUGAUGAUAAAUCCCACCUGUUCUUUACUAUGGUGCUUGUGCAUGGUUAGGGUCUUUUGCAUUCAGAAAUGCCUCCAGUUGACCAUAUAUGGUAUCAACAAUCCCUUUAAAAAUGCAUGAAUGGAUUUUUUCCCCCUUGACAAAAUCAUGGAGGUGCACACUCACAGAGCUGUUCUGCAGAAUGAAUGAGUCGUGCGUUCCUCCAGGCCACCAGGCAACAAUGUUUAACAGAUACAUAUGUGCAUCGCAGAUUAUUUGUGCAUUGAUUGAAUGAAAUCCUUAUCUAUUAGCAUAACUGAAUUUAUAUUGUGAAGAUGCUUUUAUUGCGACGUGGGUGCAAUCUAUGGCUCCAAUUAUGUUUGGGAAUCCGGCAAUGGCGUGAAAUCCUUGUUUUAUUUCGGCUUGUUGGUGAUGUGUGUAUGGGAACUGGACAUAAGUUGAGGCCAGAGAAAUUAUUGCAUCCAACUCUGCCGGCAUGAUUCUGCUUAGCGUUGGCUGCAAAAUGUAGUUUAUUUCUUCAAUCUUAUGCUGAAUUGUUCCGGUGGCCAAAAAUCCCAGGGUGGACAUUAACUGGAUGUGCACUGGGAUGGCUUUGGAGCGUUUUGUCUCUCACUCCAACACGGGUAGUAAAUCCCAUUAAAUUAUCCCACAUGGGUAGUAAAUCCAUUAAAAUGUUUUUGGGGAAGCGGUACCUGCUGAGAGUCAGCUCUGUUUUCUCACUGAACGGAUCAGCACGGUCUUUAAAAACGCGCUUCCUGCGGAGCAUACGUUCUCCAAGUCCUCUAAUAGUGCAAAAUAAGCCGUGAUACUUGUAUUUGUACUUGUAAGACUUAAUUUGAGGUUGUCCUGUCACAGCUGAUUUUUUUGCUUGUCACAACAAUCAUUCAAAAUGUCUGCUAAAUAACUAUUUGAUAAAUUUUGUACAGAGGCAACAGAGAACACGUGUGUAUUUUGAGAUUGCUGAAUGCUGUUUCUCCUUGAAUGGGUUCUAUUUGAAGUUUCACUGUUCUACCACUAAAUUUUAUGUGUACACAUGGUCAGAGUUUACGCACGUUCCUUAGCACAAUUACAUGUUGAUAAAUUCCACACACCUGUGCGUGGGAUUCUUCAUAUGCAUUCAGUACGCACACAUCUGUGCGUACACAUGGUUGAUAAAUGAGGCCUCACUAACGGUUUUCUACAUUUCAAUGUAGGGCAGUCACUGAGGCCAACCACAAGAUGGUGCUAUCAUACCAUAAUUAAAAAUUAGUAUAGUUACAUGCUGCUGACUGCAAACAUCUUUUGAGUAUUCACACAUGGAGCGGGGCCAUUGUUUUGCAUAGGCAUUAGUUUUACUAAAGCACUAAUCCUCAUCUCUGUUUAUUUACAACACUCAUACAAUUUUUUUUUAACUUAAGGUUAUCAAAAAUGUCUGCAUAUAUGACACUUCUCCAACUGCUUCUUUUCUACAACUUAAUGCAUGUUUAACUGCAGCUAUUCUAAAAUUUCUACAUAAUUUCUUCUUGUUCUCCACCUCUUCAACAGUUUAAACAUUUUUACUUUUCUUCUUUUGUAGCAGUUCUGCAUGGCUGUUUCAGCAUUCAGCAUUUCCAUGCAUUUUCUGCAAGGAAAUGCAAUUUUUGUAGUUGUCGUAUAUAUUCCUGUCGGUCGUUUUUAUUCUUCUGCCAAUUUUGCUACUUUUUUUCAUCUUCCCACUUUGUGCUAUUUCAACCUUUCAAACUUUAUAGUAAUGCACUCCUUCAGUGUCAUUUAUUACAUAGGUGUUGUGUUACACAGAGGAGGGCCUAAGAUUUUAAAAUUUUGUAAGGGUUGUGGCCACCCGAUUUGUCCCGGAAACACGUUUUGUACUUAGUAACCUUUAUUUAACCAGGAAAUAAACCCAUUGAGAUUCAGAAUCUCUUUUACAAGGGAGUCCUGGCCAGGAUAGCAGCACAAGAAGUUCCACAUUAAAAAAAAAAAAAAAAAAAACACGCAGAAAAACAAAACAGUUACAGUAUGCAAACACAACAAUAAAUCAGCGUUCAGUAAGAGGACGUGCAUUCAGGACUCAAAAACUCCUUAAUUCUAGUUUUAAAAUGUUCCACACUUGGCAGAUAAUCCAAUUUAAAAUAACCCUGUAAAUUACACCAGGAGGAGGGUGCAAAAGCCUUGAAAGCGCUUUCGCCAAAAACCGUCCUUGUCUGAGGAAUAGCGUACAUGAUCUGUCCAUCAGACCGGAGAUUACUCCUGUUGGUGAUUUUGGGAGUUAAGAGGGAACAUAGGUAAGAGGGCAAGUCACCUAGAAUGGCCUUGUAAAGAAAGAUAUACCAAUGUUCCAAUCUACGAUUUUGCAGAGAGGACCAACCAACACUCUCAUAUAAGCUGCAGUGAUGAGUACGAAAAUCUAAGCCAGUUACAAAUCUUCAUGCUGCAUGAUACACUGAGUCCAGUAUUUUUAAAGAAGAGAGAUUUGUAUGCAUGUAUAAAAGUCCCCAUAAUCAAGUAUGGAUAAAAACGUUGCCUGUAUAAGCCUUUUUCUUGCACCAAAGGAGAAACAACCCUUGUUUCUAUAGAAGAAACCCAGUUUCACCCAGAGUUUCUUUGUAAGACACUCAAUAUGGUGCCUAAAGGACAAAUUUUCUUUCAAGUGAAAUCCCAGGUAUUUGUAGACAGAAACUCUUACAACUAAUUUCUCAUUUAGAGUAACAAUCUGACAGACGUCAUCUGAUUUCAAUGAUUUUGAAAAGCACAUCAUUUUAGUCUUGUCAGUAUUGAGUACAAGUCUUAAUUGAUAGAGAUUUUUUUUUUAUUGGUAUUUUAUAUUUUAUAUUUGUUUUUUAUCUACCUAUGUAUUUUAUAUUUGUUUUUAUUUAUGGUGUAUUUGUACCUCAAUUUUACUUUGCUGUAUUUUAAUCUUGUAUUCUGUGUUUUUGAUUAUAUUGUUUACUGUCUGUUUUAUGUAUUUCGCUGUGUCUUAUUGACCUGUACAGCACUUUGGUCAGCUUCGGUUGUUUUUAAAGUGCUCUAUAAAUAAAGUUUGAGUUGAGUUGAGUUGAGCUAAUGAUGGAGCUGAACAAUACAAAACAGUGUCAUCUGCAUAGAAGUGGAAACUGGCAUCAGUUACAUUUUGACAUAAUGCAUUAAUAUAAAUAGUAAAUAAAAUAGGACCCAGUAUGGACCCCUGAGGGACACCGUUUCGAAUAGACAAGCAGUUGGAACACAGACCAUCAACCUGAACCCUUUGUGUUCUGCCACUCAAGUAGUUACCAAACCAUUUCACCGUAUUAGUAGACAUUCCAAUAUCCUCCAAUCUCUGGGACAAGAUAGAGUGGUCGACCGUGUCAAAAGCCUUUGACAGAUCUAGGAACAAAGCAACACAAUAUUCUUUAGAGUAGGCCUGUCGCGAUAAUCAAUAAAUCGCCUUAUCGCUCGGUAAAUAAAAACGAGGUCGGUCAUUUUGCCAGCCUCGAUAAUUGACGUGCGUUUGUUUUCCUCCUCUCUCGCUACCAAACACGCUGGAUGAGAGAAGAGGUCUCACUCUGCGCAUUUUUCUCGGCACCUGGGGGCGUUGGCUCUAUAGCGGAAUGAACGGAGUUAGUGAACCCUCCUGUCAGUCAUUCAGUAUCUUUGUCACGGGGGGGGGCGUGCGCACAGGCACACAGACACAGACUUUUGGAUACAGUGCUGCAAGUGAGCGUCGUGAGUGAAAAGCAAGCAAACAGAAUGAACACGACAGCUUUGGUGUCUAAACUGAACGCAACAGCCCAAGUGUGGGAAUAUUUCGGCUUUAAACCAGUUUUGUUUUCGUCAACCACAAAACUCCACGUGUGUGCGCGCGUGUGUGUCUCUGUGUUGGAGGAGCACAGCAGGAUGAUGAGAGCUGUCAGAGCGGACUGAAGCUGCUCCUACAUGUUUAGCGUUUAACUGCCUGAGUUUUGCAACUCUGUUCGUCAUUUUCGUCUCGUCCCAUCAAGGUAAACGCACUUUCGUCUCGUCACAUUUUAGUCAUCUCCGACUUAUGUUUAGCUCGUCAACGUUACGUCUUCGUCGUGGGUGAAAUUAAAGUUUAUCAGUUUUGACACGGUGUACUCGCAUUAUUAUGCCAUUUAAUAUCAUUAUCUAUAAUUUAAAAAACGGUGUCAAUAAUAUCGUUUAUCGGCGAUAAUUUGUAGCACAUUUAUCGUCCAGCAAAAUUUGUUAUCGUGACAGGCCUACUUUAGAGUCAAUAGAACAAAUGAAAUCAUUUAACACUUUCAUCAGGCAGUGACUGUGCUGUGUUUUUUAGGGAAACCAGACUGUAAUUCAUUUAAAAUGCUAUUUGAUGUCAAGAAAUUUUUCAGCUGAUCACUUAUAAGUCCUUCCAAGACCUUGGCCAAAAUAGGUAAUUUGGAUAUCGGCCUAUAAUUAUUGGGAUUAGACCGGUCAACACCCUUCAGUAAAGGAGUGACAUAUGCUGACUUCCAAAUGCUAGGUAUUAUCCCAGUUUCUAUAGUCCAAUUGAAAACAUAAGUCAAGGGGACUUCAAUAUGCUCAGUAGCAAGUUUUAAAAAGAAAGGACCCAACCCAUCAGGACCAGGGGAUUUCUUGGGAUUUAACCUUGAGAGAGAGUCAUAUAUCUCAUCUCUAGACAAAGGUGCAAGAUCAAAAUCAAAAGGUAGAUUUUCCCUGGACAAUGAGUGAUCCUGUUGACUCACCACUUGUGGUAUGUCGUGCUCAAACAACAACCCAGAAGAUAUAAAGUGCUGGUUCAAAGAAUCUAGCAUACUUUUCUUGUCUGUAAUGGUCUCAUCAUUCAACUUUAAUGUAUUUGGCAGCACAGUAUCCUUUGACCCUGAAGACAGUUAUUUAAUCAGUUUCCAGAAUUUAGAAGGGUUGUUUGCACUGUCACAAAUUUUAUUAAGAUAAAAAUCGGCUUUGGCUUUACUAGGCCUGUCGCGAUAAUCAAAAAAUCGCUGUAUCGCUCGGUAAAUAAAAACGAGGUCGGUCAUUUUGCCAGCCUCGAUAAUUAACGUGCGUUUGUUUUCCUCCUCUCUCGCUACCAAACACGCUGGAUGAGAGAAGAGGUCUCACUCUGAGCAUUGUUCUCGGCACCUGGGGGCGUUGGCUAUAUAGCGGAAUGAACGGAGUUAGUGAACCCUCCUGUCAGUCAUUCAGUAUCUUUUUCACGGGGGGGGCGCGCGCACAGGUACACGUAAUGGGGCACAGGCACACAGACACAGACUUUUGGAUGCAGUGCUGCAAGUGAGCGUCGUGAGUGAAAAGCAAGCAAACAGAAUGAACACGACAGCUUUGGUGUCUAAACCGAACGCAACAGCCCAAGUGUGGGAAUAUUUCGGCUUUGAACCAAAUGAAAGAGGUGAGCCCACAAAUACGGACGAGCCGAUAUGUCGUAUUUGUCCCAAAAUUGUGGUGACAAAGAAGGGGAAUACGACGAACAUGCAUGCGCACCUCAAGCACAAUCAUCCCCUCCAUUUUUCCCAACUGAGCAAAAAAAGUACCGCCGGAGGUGCUGCAGAGCCAUCGUCCCGACAGGUACCGUUUACUGAAGCGUUUGGCAAGCAAAGCAAAUAUAAACAAAACAGUGCAAAAUGGUGCGCGCUGACAGACAGCGGAAAUUGAAGUUUAUCACUUUUGGCAUGGUGUACUCGCAUUAUUAUGCCAUAUAUUAUCAUUUUCUAUAAUUUAAAAAACGGUGUCAAUAAUAUCGUUUAUCGGCAAUAAUUUGUAGCACAAUUAUCGUCCAGCAAAAUUUGUUAUCGUGACAGGCCUAGGCUUUACGUAUCUGAGAGACACACUUGUUCCUCAGGUGGCUAAAAAGUUGCCAGUCUGAGCUUUUUUUGGAUAUUCUUGCAGUUGCCCUGGCAAGAUCUUGUUUAUGAAUUAGAUCAGACAGUUGCUCUGAAAACCAUGGAUUAUCACGACCUUUAAUCUUGUAUUUUCUGAGAGGAGCAUGUUUGUCUAUAAUGUCCAAAAAUAAGGAAUUAAAAUACUGUAAAGCUGUCUCAGCAUCUGGAAUCAAAUUUACCCUGGUCCAAUCACAUAGAUAUAUGUCAUUUAAAAAGGCUUGUUCGGAAAAUGACUUAAAAUUACGCCUAAUUAUGAUACACUUUGAUAACUUUGUGUCUCUCACACAAGCAAUAAUGCAGUGAUCACUAACAUCAUUUGCAAACACAGCGGUAGCCUGGUAUUUUUGGGGAAAAUUGGUUAAAAUCAAGUCAAGGAGUGUCGACUUCUCAGGGCGUUUAGGGUUUGGCCUAGUUGGUGAGUCAAUAAUUUAAGCCAAAAGGGCUGAGUCACAGAAACAUUUAAAAGAAUCAGAAGCAGGGGUUAACCAAUCCCAAUUUAAAUCCCCUAUUAAAAGCAGAUCAUUGUAGUUAAUAGUUGAUAAGCAGUCAGACAAUGAGAGUAGUGUAUCCUUUAAGGCAGAAGGUCUAUAACAUCCCCCUACUGUCAUAACACAGCUCUUCGUAAAUUCAACUUUCAAGACAAGCAAUUCAAAUUGUUUAGGCACAGACUUGGAUAAUUGUACUGUUGCCUGAAAUGUAUUUUUAACAUAAAUUGCUACGCCUCCACCUUUGGCACAGCGAUCAGCAUCCAAAUAAAUAUGACUAUCAGGCGUAGAUCUACUCAGCCAUGUCUCAGAUAAAACCAUAAUGUCAGCACUUGUUGAUUUGGCCCAAAUUCUAGCCAUAUAAAUUUUGGGCAAAAGACUUCUCACAUUCAUAUACAAAACCAAUACGAGACCUAUUCAAAAAUUCAGCAGGGGUUUGUAGUGAUAUCACAUCAGACACAGGGCCUGGGUUAGGCUGAACAUUCCUUGAUAUCAACAAGCAUGAUCAUACAUUUCAACAUACGUGUUUCAUGAAAAUGCUUCUUGAUUUUCUUACAGACAUCAUUCAUCGUAACAGGCUGAGAGUCAUUUGAUGGGAUAAAGCAGUCCUUUAGGAGAAGAAGGCUUAAAAGAUAAUUAAAGUUUAUAUGCUUUGAAACCUGGCUCAUUUCAAGCAUCGAGCACCCUUGAUUGAUAUCAAAGUCCUGCGCCCAGCUAGUAACCUUUGACCGUGAUGACAUACAAAGAAAGCACAGGCAGGAGGGCGAGAAUUAUACUCGCCAUGAUUCAGAUUCAGAUUCAGAUUCCUUUAUUAGCCAUUGUGUAAAACACAUAGGAAUUUGCUUUGGCAAUAGCAUGAGUGUGUUCGGAUGUUUUUUCACAGAUAACAUAAAACACAAACAACACGAAAAAUAGAUAAAUAUAAAGUGCAGUAGGAUCAAUAGUGCAGAUGUAGUUCAGUGUCAAAGUCCCUAGUGGGCGGGGUGAGGAGGGAAGCCAGACUCAUUGAGCAGCCUGGCAGCAGAGGGGAAAAAACUGAGUCUAUGGCGUGCUGUGGUGGCCUUCAGCAGCUGCAUCCUUCUCCCAGAGGGAAGCAGGGAGAGGAGACUGUGGCCAGGGUGGGAGGGGUUGGCCAUGAUUUUCUUGCCCUCCUCAGCGCCCUGGAGUUGUGCAGGGACUUGAGGGAGGGCAGCGGGCGGCCAAUCACCCUCUCCGCUGAACGAAUCACCCUCUGCAGCUUGAUAAGGUCUCUUGCAGCUGCAGCAGGGAACCAGGUGAUGAUGGAGUGGGUGAGGAUGGACUCAAUGAUGGCCGUGUAAAACUGAGUCAUCAUGGUCCUUGAUAGUCUGUACUUCCUCAGCUGCCUUAGGAAAAACAGUCUCUGCUGGGCCUUUUUCAAAAGGGACAUGAUGUUAAUUUCCCACUUCAGGUCCCGGGAGAUGGUGACGCCCAGGAGCUUAAAGGACUACACAGAGUUUACCAGGGUGCCUCCCAGCGUGAUGGGAGGGGGAGGGGCUGUGUUCUUGUGGAAAUUCACCACCAUCUCCACUGUCUUUUGGGGAUUAAGGUCCAGGUUGUUGCUACUGCACCAACUGCGCAGCCGCUCGAUCUCCCUCCUGUAGGCCGACUCGUCCCCCUUGGAGAUGAGGCCCACCAAGGUAGUGUCAUCGGCAAACUUGAGGAGCUUGACUGACGGGUGGAGAGAGACACAGGUGUUGGUGUACAGGGAGAACAGUAGCGGGGACAGGACACAGCCCUGCGGGGAACCGGUGCUGGUGGACCUGGAGUUGGAAAUGCUUUUCCCCAGCUUCACCCGCUGAGACCUGUUGGUCAGAAAGUCUGUAAUCCACUUGCAGGUGGAGGCAGGCACUUGCAGCAGGGACAGCUGGUGCUCCAGGAUGGAUGGUAGGAUGGUGUUGAAGGCUGAACUGAAGUCGGCGAACAGGAUCCUGGCAUAGUUGCCGGCAGUGUCCAGAUGGUUUAAGAUGAAGUGCAGAGCCAUGUUCACGGUGUCCUCUGUGGAUCUAUUGGCUCUGUACGCAAACUGCAACGGGUCCAGCACAGGAUCAGUGAUGCGCUUCAGGUGAGCCAGGACAAGGCGCUCCAUGACCUUCAUGACCACAGAGGUCAGGGCGACAGGUCUAUAGUCAUUGAGGCCUGUGACCUUGGCCUUCUUGGGGAUGGGGAUGAUAGUUGAGGCCUUAAAACAUGCUGGGACAUGACAAAGCUCCAGAGAGGUGUUGAAGAUGUUGGUGAACACCGGGGCGAGCUGGUCAGCACAGUGCUUCAGGACAGAGGGGGAGACAGAAUCCGGUCCGGGCGCCUUCCGGGGGUUCUGGCUCCUGAGCAAGGCAGGAUGGGUGAAAUAGGCCUCAGCUGCAGAGCUGGGUAGUAGGCCUCAGGCUGCAGGGAUGGGUGGAUGAGGUAGGCCUCAGGCUGCAGAGCAGGGUGGAUGAGGUAGGCCUCAGGCUGCAGAGCAGGGUGGAUGAGGUAGGCCUCAGGCUGCAGGGCUAGAUGGAUGAGGUUGGCCUAAGGCUGCAGAGCAGGGUGGAUGAGGUAGGCCUCAGGCUGCCGGGCAGGGUGGAUUAGGUAGGCUUCAGGCUGCAGGGCUGGAUGGAUGAGGUAGGCCUCAGGCUGCAGAGCUGGGUGGAUGAGGUAGGCCCCAGGCUGCAGGGCUAGAUGGAUGAGUUAGGCUUAAGGCUGCAGAGCAGGGUGGAUGAGGUUGGCCUCAGGCUGCCGGGCAGGGUGGAUGAGGUAGGCUUCAGGCUGCAGGGCUGGUUGGAUGAGGUCGGCCUCAGGCUGCAGAGCAGGGUGGAUGAGGUAGGCCUCAGGCUACUGAGCUUUUCUUGUUGUGGGUACUGCUGCAGAUCUUGUCUGCAAUCUAGCCACACUUUAGCAGCUCCCAUAGUCUUGAGUAGGUUUUAAAGGCUAACAGGUGGCCUAUGGAGUAGCCAAACAAAGUAGAGCAGAGUUGUUUCCCAAAGGAAAAUGCCAAAAUCCACAACCUUGAUGCAAUCUUUAAGUAAACUAGAACACUGAAUAGUCCACAAUGGAAAAAUACUAAGUAUUAUAAUCCAAAAGGAAACAUUAAAAACAGACAAACACUGAGCAGAGACUGAACAGAGACACCACACAUGCUGCCAUCUUGCGCAUGUGCAAAACAGACGUCACUUCCUCUGCUAGCCAUCUUUGCGACAGCUCAGCAAUUAUUUGCUCCUAGCAGUUUGCGACAGCUUUGACACUAUUUUGGCAGCAUCAGCGAGCCCGCUUCAGAAUGGAGGCGUCAAUUUAUCAACAGCUACAGGCCUUUCUCCUGAUUGGAGUGCUUCCCCCAACUGAAGCAGAAUGGCGCACAGUUUCUACAAAGUUUCCACCACUAACUUAAUUUUAAAAUUGUAACGUGAAAGGCUUGAAUGAAUGUUACUAUUUUUUUUGUUGCCCAGCAGUCUGUUGUUUAUUUCAGAGUCCAUUGUUUAUUUCUUUUUAUGUUUUGUAAAUAUUUUUUGCAAUCAAUCCUGUGUCAUGUCCUCAGCACAUUGCAAUUUUAAGCUGAUCAUAACACAUUACAGGUAUCGAUAGAUAGAUAGAAAGAUCACACUAAGGCUUCACGAUAUAACAGUAUGUUUCCUCUAAACGAUAGAAAAUUUCUAUCGGGAUACAUGAGCUCUAUCAUUUCUAUCGCAGUGUCGCAAAAACACGCUUUACGGCAGUGUUUUACGGCAGUGUUUUACGUUGUGACGCUCCAUAUAUGGCAUGCCCACACGCGCUACUGCCAAUGUGAAAAACACAAGCAUGGAGGGGCCGGGUGUUGUGGCGCAAGAGACGACAAUUCUCGUGCAUCUAAUGCAGACGAGCCAACGCAGAUGGAGGAGCUGCUGCCGAAACGGGGGCAACGUCGGUUGUGUGGUCUUGGUUUGGUUUUAAAAGAAGCGACACGGAGCAGACCGCUGUAGUUUUAUUCUGAGUCAGUACAUGUAGAUCUAUAUCGAUAUAUUAUGAUGUAUAUCUGAUCUGAUAAGCGUGUUUGGCACGGGUUUGGACACUCCACCUGACCGAAUUAACACAGCUGAAACCGCAUUAAAUUAAAUAUCCAAUAAACAGUCACACAUGAUGAAGUUAACAAGAUACUUAAUUCGUCUCCCCAAUUAUCCUCCUUCUUCCUUGCGCAGCUUGAUAGGUGUUAUGCCGUAGCAUGCACCCCUGAAUCCCAUCGACUCAUUAGCUUCUUAAAGUGGAAAAAAUUAUCUCAUAUUUAAAAAAAACACGAGUAUUGGAUCAUGACAACAUGUCAAAUGGAGCAGCAAACUUUCGUUCUGUUUGUAGGUAUUUAAAAAAAUGCACAUACAGAGGUGUACUUGGGUAUUUAAACUAUGCUGUGUAGGUAGAGAACAUAUUUGCGGGGCAGCAAAUAUUCCGAAUCAGAGGGCGAUUGUUUUUGGCAUAUCUGAAUAGCCAGAAUGAAAUCAUUAAAGGCACACACUCUAGAAUCAGUCCAAUGGUAAGAAAAACUUGGAUUAUUCCGCCUUGUUGUGUACUUUCAAUCGCGCUCCUGUCAGGGGGGGCUUUGACGGCAGGGUUGCAUUCUAUGGCACAACACCUGACAUGUCUUCGUGUCCUCUCUCCGUCCUGCUGCACCUGCUGCUGUUGCGGCGGCUGAACAGAUGAUUUGUUUCAGUGAUCAGAUGAGUUAUUUACUUUAAGCCUACAUACGAAUAUUAUAAUAUUCAGUUUUGUGGGCCAAAUUUAUUUUAUAUGCCAACAUCUGUGAAAGAAAGAGCCAGGCCACGGAGCACGAUGCGUCAUUACGCACAGAUGGUUCCGAUUUUAAUGCCAUUAUUGGUAUUUAUGUUGUGAUCUGUGUGCACAACCCACCUUUGUCACGUGAGGUUUGAAUAUGUGCAACUUUACAUGAGUUUCUUUAUUUGUGGAAAAGGGUGUUUGUCUUACCAGUGGGUACAACCUUACACACACCAUAUCCAUCUUAUUUGAGAGUGAGAAGGACGCCCUCUGCAGCGCUUACAGCGACCUUAAUUGAGGAGCUGCCUUCUCUAGCCAUCGAGUGGCAUUACUGUCUUCAGACAUCUCUUGAUCUCUUUGACUACUUCACGAACAUUGCAAUACGCCUCGAUGGUGGUGGAUGUAAAGGCGAGGAGAGGAGCUUAUGUUAUUGGUCAAUACAGGUCUCGGCUGUGUUAAACCCCUCCACGUGCUCUCUCCUCCCUCACUCAAAUAUUUAGUUACUCAAAAUCCGUUCUACAUUACAUGCUGAUGUCAUGUGAAUGAGCUAGCCUAUGUAAUGUAUGGAUGUUCGUUUCAUUAUUAAACCUUGUGUAACUAAUUGUUGUUUACACAAAUGUUGAAUUAUUGAAAAGUGUUUUCAAUAUUUUUCAGAGGGCUCUAAAUAAAAGAAGUCCUGUUUAUCAACGUACCUUGUUUAAUAUAUCAUUUAAACUACAUUUCCACGCAGCAAUUUUAUAUAAACUAUGCAUCAAUUGAAUUUACAAAAAAUGUACUAUAUCGUGAUGUAUAUCGUAUCGGGAUAUAAAAUGAGCUAUAUCGGGAUAUGACCAAAAUCUCAUAUCGUGCAGCCCUAGAUCACACACUACAUAAAAUCCUCUGGAAGUGUGUGGCUGCCCUUCGAGUGGCCACAUAUCUCUGGAGCAUCCCCCCUCAAUACAUUGAAAAGUCAGAGAUCCAGGAUUUUGACUGUGUGAUGGCGCUCUCUGAGGCCGAGGGAGGGUGCACCAUGUGCAGCCACACAACCCCAGAGCAUUUCCCCUUGAUAAUUUGAAUGUCAGAGAUCCAGGAUUUUGACCGGGUGGUGGCGCUCUCCGAGGCUGGAGCAGGGUGCACCAUAGGCAGACACACACCUCCAGAGCAUCUCCCCUCGAUAUUUUGAAAGUUGGAGAUCCAUUUUGACCGGGUGGUGGCGCUCUCCGAAGACGUGGAAGGGUGCACCCAUAGGCAGACACACACCUCCAGAGCAUCUCCCUUCAAUAUUUUGAAAGUUAGAGACCAAGAAUUUAGACCGGGUGGUGGCACUCUCUGUGGACGUGGAAGGGUGCACCAUCUGCGGCCACACACUUACAGAGUCCCCCCCCCCCUCCCCCCUUGCCCUUGAUACUUAGAGUCUGAGAUCCAGGAUUUUAAACAGGUGGUGGCGCUCUCCGAGGCCAGGAAAGAGUGCACCAUAUGUGGCCACACACCUCCAAAGCAUUUCCCCUCGAUACAUAGAAAGUCAGAAAUCCAGAAUUUUGACAGGAUGGUGCAUCUCUAUAAGGACGGGGAAGGGUGCACCAUGUGCGGCCACACAACCCCAGAGCAUUUCCCCUUGAUAAUUGAAAAGUCAGAGAUCCAGGAUUUUGACCAGGUGUUGGCGCUCUCUGAGGCCGGGGAAGGGUGCACCAUGUGCGGCCACACACCUCCAGAGCAUUUCUUGUUGAUACUUUGAAAGUCAGAGAUCCAGGAUUUUGACCGGGUGGUGGCGCUCUCCGAGGCCGGAGCAGGGUGCACCAUAGGCAGACACACACCUCCAGAGCAUCUCCCCUCGAUAUUUUGAAAGUCAGAGAUCCAGGAUUUUGACCGGGUGGUGGCCCUUUCCGAGGACGAGGGAGGGUGCACCAUGUGCAGCCACAUACUUCCAGAGCAUCCCCUCUCGAUACUUUGAUGAGUCAGAGAUCCAGGAUUUUGGUCAGGUGGUGCUCUCUGUGUUUCAAAAGGUUUCACAAUCCUGGGCAGGAGCUGUAGCGAAUGCAAUGAUAUUGGCCUUGGAGCCUUCUGCUAGCUAGUCAGCUGAUGUCCGAAAUCAAUUGGCUGUUUGUUUAAAGUUUUUUUAAGGUAACGUAUAUUUGCACAUGCGCAAGUUCUACCGCUGUCCUUGCCUCUUUUCUCCUCACACGAACUUCUGGCAAUUACACUCCCUGGUCCCACUCCCACCAUAAAUGACUUUUCGGUUCUACUCACCCAUCUAUGCACACUCUCACCAAACAUAAUAAUACUGGGGGACUUCAAUAUCCAUAUUGACAACACCAACCUCCCCCUCACCAGAGACUUCUCAUCCUGCCUGGACAGUUUUGGACUCCAUCAAUUCAUCAACUUCCCGACACACACUAAAGGACACACUCUGGAUUUACUCUGCUGCUCUGGCCUCAUCCCAUCCAACUGCACAGCUGAUGAUCUCCACGUAAGUGACCACCUCCUCAUCUCCUUCAGUAUUCCGCUCUCCCUCUCUAGAGUUUAUUCACCACGCCUCAUUACAUUCUGCAACCUUAAGAACAUAAACAUUGACACUCUGCGCUCUAAGAUUAUGAAUAUUGUGAUCCCGGACUGUUACACUACCCCUGAUGACAUAACAUCUCAUUACAACACCUGUUUAAAUAGCAUCCUCAAUUCCCUCGCUCCACUCAAAACACGCUCUGUUUCCUUCUCCACAACUGCACCCUGGUACACCCCCCACCUCCGCUCCAUGAAAACCAAAGGCCGCCAACUGGAAAGACUUUACAAGAAAACUGGACUCUCCAUUCACAAAGAAAUGUACAUUAACCACAUACGCUGCUACAAGGACUCAAUUUCUCACGCAAAAACAGACCACUACUCCGCCCAGAUCAUCUCCAACAAAGGAAACACCAGAUCACUAUUCACUCUCCUCAACAAAUCUCUCCAGCCACCGGACUCCCUCCCUCCCCACCUGUAUUCAACCGACACCUGCAACACCCUAAUGCAGUUUUUUAAUGACAAAAUCUCCAACAUCCAUAAACAACUACACUCAGGUUCUCUUCCCCCUGGACCCUCUCCAAACUCACCUACUCCCCUGCCACACCACCAGCCCUUCUCCAGUUUUCUUCUCCCCAAUGACUCUGAAAUCUAUGAUCUCAUCCAGAAAUCCAAACCCUCAACCUGUCAGCUGGAUCCCCUUCCCACCACACUGCUCAAAUCAUGCCUCCCAUCUGUGCUCCCUCUCAUAUCUGCCAUCAUUCACUCCUCACUCACCACUGGAACUGUUCCCGCAUCCCUCAAGACAGCAGCCAUCACCCCAUCCUUAAAAAACCUGGCUCUGACCCCAAUAACUUCAACAACCUCCGCCCCAUCUCAAAUCUACCGUUUAUAGCCAAAAUAAUGGAAAAGGUCGUCGCCAGCCAACUUCACACCCACCUAACCCAGAACUCCCUCUACGACCCCUUCCAAUCUGGUUUCCGCCCCCGCCACAGCACCGAAACCGCACUGCUAACGACCUUCUCACUGCAUCUGACUCCGGUUCAUUUUCCAUCCUCAUCCUCCUCGACACUAUCUCCCAUCCCAUCCUCCUUCGUAGACUCUCCUCCAUCGGCAUCACCCACACUCCCCUCCGCUGGUUCCACUCUUACCUCUCAGACCGCACACAGUUCAUCCAGCUCAAAUCAUUCAAGUCCGACCCCUCCCCUGCUGUUCAUCAUCUACCUCCUCCCCCUUGGUUCCAUCUUCCAUAAAUUCAACAUUCAAUACCACUGCUACGCUGACGACACCCAGCUCUACCUCUCCAGCUCACCAAACUCCACCCUCCCACCCACCUCCCUCAUCACCUGCCUAUCUGAAAUUAAAUCCUGGUUCACCUCCAACUUUCUCCAAUUAAACAGUCAGAAAACAGAAAUUCUUCUUGUAGGUUCCAAAUCCACCCUAUCCAAAGUUGACAGUCUCUCCCUUCCCAUCGACAGUUCCUCAGUUUCCCCCUCACCUCAGGUCAAGAGUCUGGGUGUCGUCCUUGACAGUUCUCUUUCUUUUAAAUCCCACAUCAGCCUUACCACUCGCACUGCCUAUUUCCACCUCCACCACAUCAAUCGUCUCCGCCCCUCCCUCUCCCCCAACACCACCUCCAUCCUCGUCCACAGUCUCGUCACCUCCCGUCUGGAUUACUGCAACUCCCUCCUCUUCGGUCUCCCUUACACGUCUCUCCAUAAACUUCAACUGGUCCACAACUCCGCUGCCCGUAUCAUCACCAAAACCCCUUCGUCCCACCACAUCACCCCCAUCCUUCAGCAGCUUCACUGGCUCCCGGUCCCUCUACGAAUCCAGUUCAAAAUCCUCCUGUAUACCUUCAAAGCCAUCCACAACCUCGCCCCUCCUUACCUAUCUGACCUCCUCCACAUCGCCACUCCAACACGCCACCUCCGUUCCUCUUCCUCUCUCCACCUCUCUGUGCCCCCUGUUCACCUCAGCACUAUGGGGGGCAGAGCUUUCAGUCGCUCUGCCCCCCGACUCUGGAACUCUUUACCAUCAUACAUCCGCAACAUAGACUCCCUCCCCCUCUUCAAGUCCAAACUCAAAACACACCUGUUUAAACUGGCCUAUCCCUCCCACCACCCCUAACCCACUUUUUUUAAAUUAAAUUUCAAUUGGUAUUAUUAAUUUCUUUAUUUAUUCCUUUGCUGUUGUUCAUGUUUAAUGUUGCUUUGUUGAUUUUAACUGUUUGAUGAUUAAUGAUUUUAAUUGUUAAUAGUGUUUUAUUAUUGUUUUUAUAUGUUCUGUAAAGUGUCCUUGAGUGACGUGAAAGGCGCUUCAAAUAAAAUGUAUUAUUAUUAUUAUUAAGACAGAUCGGGUAGGUAGAAUGGGUGGUGCAACAUGCGGACUACACAGACUGCCGUAAAAUGCAUUGAAAUACGAAGAGAGGAAUUGACAUUUUGUCACGGGUUGCUAUGGAGCCAUUUUUGAUGAGGUCCAUUUUGUCACAGGAGCCCAUUUUGUUCAGCUUAAGGUCCAACAAAAGUGUCAUUGAUUUCAUAAGUUUGGUUCAUACACAGGAGCAGGGCGCUAUGGAGCGAUUCUUAGUUGGAUCUCCUUUUCGACAUACGGACCCUUUUUGUUCCUGAUGGGGUUCAAAAUAGUUGUGAUUAAUUCUAUCGGUUUGGGUCACACAAGGGGGCAGAGCAUUCCUUUUGACGAUUUGUAGAGGGCGCUAUCAAUCUACUUUUAGUUUAAGUCACACAUUUUGCUAACAUUUUGAAACAAGAAAAAUUGCAUUUAAUUGCAAAAAGAUGCAUGGACGUGCUGAGUGCUGAGACAGCCACGCAGAACUGCUACAAAAGAAGAAAAGUAUGAAUGGAAAAACUGUUGAAGAGGUGGAGAAGAAGAACUUGUAUGUUUGUAGAAAUUUUGGCAUAGCAGCAGUUAAACAUGCAUGAAAUUGUAGGAAAGCAGCAAUUAGAGCAGUGUUAUACAUGCUGAAAUUUUUGGUAACCUUAAGUUAAAAAAGAGUCAGAUGAGUAUUGUUAAUUUACAGAAAUGAUUAUUAGUAGAAGUGCAUUGAAAAAAUCAAUGCCAAAAAUUAAAUGUAUAACAAUUGCCCUGCUCAAUGUGUGAAAACUGAAAAAAGCUGCAGUUAAAAAAGGCGUAUGAAUGUAAAAUUAUAAGCGCUGAAUAAGUGGUGUUGUCAAAGUAUUAAAGAGCUACAUUUAAUAUACUUUUAUGAAUGUGGAAAAUGCUAAAAUUGUGUGUCUUAUGUAAAUGAACAUAAGUAAUAAUCAGUUUAGGUGCUUUGGAAAGACAAUUACCGAAAAAGUUAUGUAUAACAAACUCCCCAAGAAAUGUGGAAAUACUCGAAAGAUGUUUGCAGUCAGCAUGUUGCCAUCGUAAUUUUUCAUUAUGGUAUGACAGCACCAUCUAGUGCUGUGCUCCAGUGACUGCCCUACAUUUAAAUAUAGAAAGUGUUCCAGAUCUGAAAUUAAAGAAAGGUGUAAAAAUGUAAAAUUAUUAAAGUGCUGAGUAAGUGGUAUUAAUGUCAAAGUAUUAAAAGCUCAAAGUUAACUACUUGUAUGAAUGUUAAAAAUGCUCAAGUGAAGAAAAAGUUGUAUGACUUAUGUGAAUAAACAGAAAUAAUGAUCAGUGUAGGUGCUUUGGAAAGACAAGUGCCUAAAAAUGUGUGUAAUACAAACUCCCUAUCAAAUGUGGAAGUACUCAAAAGAUAUUUGCAGUCAGCAUGUAACCAAAGUAAUUUUUGAUUAUGGUAUGACAGCACCAUCUAGUGGUGUGCUUCAGUGACUGCCCUACAUAUAAAUAUACAAAGUGUGAGAGAGCUGCAGCUGAGAAAGACAUGUGAAAGAAAAUAAUGAAAAGUGCUAAACAUGUGUUUCAGUGACUGCCCUACAUUUACAUUAGGAAAGUGUUACAGAGCUGUAGCAAAAAAAGGUGUAUUCAUAUAAAAUCAUGAAAGUGCAAAAUAAGUGUCAAAAGUAUUAAGAGCUGUUAGUUGUUAAUACUUGUAUGAAUGUAAAAUAUGCUCAAGUGAAGAAAAAGUUGUAUGACUUAUGUAAAAAAAAGGAAAAAAGAUCAGUCUAGGUGCUUUAAAAAGACAAGUGCCUAGAAAUUGAUGUAUGACAAACUCCCCAUGAAAAAUGGAAGUACUCAAAAAAUGUUUGCAGUCAGUGUGUAACCAUAGUAAUUUUUGAUUAUAGUAUGACAGCACCAUCUAGUGGUGUGCUUCAAUGACUGCCCUACAUAUAGAUAUAGAAAUUGUUACAGAGCUGAAGCAAAAAAAAGGCCUCUGAAUGUAAAAUUAUGAAAGUAUGAAGAAGUGGUAUUAAUCUCAAAAGUAUAAAGGGUACAAAUUUUAAAUACUUUUAUGAAUGUAAAAAAGGCUCAAGUGAAGAAAAAGUUGUAAGACUUUUGUGAAUAAAAAUAAAUAAAGAUCAGUCUAGGUGCUUUGGAAGGACAAGUGCCUAGAGAUUUAUUUAUUACAAACUCCCCAUGAAAUGUUGAAAUAUUCAAAAGAGGUUUGCAGUCAGCAGCGUGUAACCAUAGUCACUGGUAGCGGCACAACACUACCCUAAAGUGUGCUUCAGUUACUAACUUACCAAGCUGAAGCACACCGCAAGAUGGAGUAGUGCGUGCAGACAGGGUGUGUAGGAAAUCGACAAGCACACAACACAUGAGAAGUGCUCCACCAUGGGUGAAGUGGAUACCGUCUGAACUUCUUUACCUGGCGCAGUUUUUCCGAGUGGUAUCAUGAAAAUAAGACCAUCUUAAGAAUUCAGGCACUCUCAUGAUCACUUCUAAUUGUACAGAAAGAGUGAAAUAUUGCAAAAAGUAUAAAUGGUAGAAAGGUGAAAAGUACACCCCACUAGAUGGUGCUGUCAUACCAUAAUCAAAAAUUACUAUGGUUACAUUCUGACUGCAAACUUCUUUUGAGUACUUCCACAUUUUACGGCGAGGUUGUAAUAUAUACAUUUUUAGGCAUUUGUCUAUCCAAAGCACCUCGACUGAUCAUUUUUCCUUGUAAUUCACAUAAGACAUACAAUUUUAGCAAUUUUUUUUAUUUUUACCUUCAUCCAAGUAUUUAAGCUUCAGCUCUGUAAUAUUUUCUACAUUUUUAUGUGGGGAAGUCACUGAAGCACACCACUAGAUGGUGCUGUUUUUCCAUUAUUACAAAUGAGUCUCAUCACCCUGUGAUGAAGAAAAUGUCAAGAUGGAGAACCAACCAUCAAUGGUCACAUAUUGCCCCCUACCCAAUUGAAAAAUAAAAGCCCUUUUUCUGUGUACGAACCAAACUUUUGAAAUAAAGUACAAUUAUGACAAACCAAAAGUUGAACAUAAAGGGCUCCAGCAUCAAAAUGGAGAAUCAACUUCAAAUAGCUCCAGAGUGCCACCUUCAAAUUUUAAAAAAAAGUAAGCCCCACUCCUGUGUUUGACCAAAACCUUUGGAAUUGAUGUCACUUAUGUUUGACCUCAAGACAAACAAAAAUGGGUUCAAUGUCAAAAUUGAGGUCCUUCAAGAAAUAGCUACAUAGCACCCCCUUCAUAAUUUCAAAAUGAAACGCCUGCUUCUUUGAGUGACUCAGACCAAUGGACUAACAGACACUUAUCUUGGAUCCAACUGAAAAUGGCACGACUGCGUUCUCUACAACAUUUCUAAAUGAAAGCCCUGCUCUGGUGUGCGUCCAAAACCUGUGGAAUUAGUGACACUGAAGUUGAACCUUAACACGAACAAAAACAGUUUGAAUAUCAAAAUGGAGAUCCAUCAAAACAUGGCUCUAUGGCACCACCUUCAAAUUUCUUUAAUGUGAACCACGUUCCUGUGUUUGACCUAAACCUAUGAAACUGAUGACACUUAUGUUUGACCUCAAGAUGAACAAAAAGGGUUUAACUGUCAUAAUGGAUAUCCAUCAUAAAAAGGCCCCAUAGCGCCCCCUUCAAAAUUUCAAAACGUAAACCCGCUCCUGUGGUCCAGACAAGUGGAUUCAAUGACACUUAUCUUGAAUCCCAAGAGGAAAAGAAAUGGGUUCCAAUGUAAAAAUUGGGGACCCAUCAAAAAAUUCCUUCAUUUCUCCCUCUACAAAAUUUCAAAAUGUAAGUUCAGCUCCUGUGUUUGACCUAAACCGAGGGAUUUAAUGACACCUACGUUGGACUCAAAGUUAAACAAAAAGUUUUCCACUGUCAAAAUGGAUUUCCAACAAAAAUGUGGUCAUAGCGCCCUCUACAAAAAUUUCAGGACUCAGUGCUGUAUUUGAAGUCUGGUGUAUACCCUGUCAAUAGGAAUAGAGCCAGGACCAUCCGUUGUGGAACCCCUGUACUUCUCAAUAAG